CUGCAGAUGUCUCAGCCAUAAGUAGUAAACCUUCUUCCAUGACUGAGGAGAGAGGCCAACCAGGCCAACCUCACUGAAAAGACAAAUGAGUUGGAACGGCUUCAGAGUUUGUCAAUGCAGAGUAAAGCAUGCCCUGCCGGAUGGAGCAGGUUCAGCUAUAGCUGCUAUCUUCUUUCAGAAAGAUCUGGUUCCUGGGAUGUGGCCAGAAAGGACUGCAGAGACAGAGGAGCAGAUCUGGUGGUUAUUGACAGCCUGGAGGAUCAGGUCCAAGGAGCUCUAAGAGAAGUUUCUAUCUGGGCGUUAUUCUCACUCUGAGCUUGCUGAGUGUUUUCCUUCUGGCUGGACUGAUCACUCUCAGUUUCUUCUGUGAGUUGCAUGUUUUUCGUCAAUACUUGCUCUACUGAUCAUCAGCCACCAUCAGCCAUAGUAAAAAGGCAAAUAUUUAAUUCAGUUCAAUACAAUUCAAUUCAAUUGUCACUUCUAAUAAAGGUUGACAAACAAGACUAACUA
This is a long non-coding RNA of Oreochromis niloticus (Nile tilapia), 510 nucleotides long. RefSeq lists it as uncharacterized. The record is from RefSeq and is a predicted model, not a curated record. Lineage: Eukaryota; Metazoa; Chordata; Actinopteri; Cichliformes; Cichlidae. The transcript is spliced from 3 exons.